CCACAAUUCAAUGUAAACAAGAUCUAAGAUCCUACAUUAUUCAAUUCUCAAUAAUCUAAAUGCAGAUUCGCUUGUAUGUAAUUAAACUAAUUAAACUAAUGGAAUGUAACUAAACAAACAUGCACUAAAAUCUUUAGAUUAACCAACUCGAUUUUAACCAGACCCAUAAACACAAAUGCAAUACAUAUGAUUAAAAUCUAGUGGUACCUGAAAUCCAUCUCCGCGCAACAGCUCAUUAUACAAUACACAGUUUGAACAAGCAUAUAUCUAACACCACAAUGCUUAUCACAUGUGCUUUCAAACUGUAGUUGUAGAUUUCACCAUAAGCUUCCAAAUGAUAGCAACAAUCACUAGUAACAAACACCACCAUAGCAGUUGUCACUCGUGAGCAAGUUGUGAGAAGCUAAGAUGUAUAGAUGUACAGGGUAUACAAGGAUAUUCACAUGAAUGGACUUCAGUGCAUCGUUGCUCAAUUCGACACCUUAUCUAGUUCUUGAUUGCGCAGCACAUGCCGACCCGAAGAGUAAGUUGAAAUUGCUGAUCCAGUCACCCACAAUGAGUGCUUAGCUACACCCACACUUUUCUUUGUCACCAACCAGACAGUCCAGAAAAAUCCAAUCCAACCUGUAGCUAUAAAAACAGCUAUAAUUGCUGAAAUUGUUGCUGUGGAAAUGACAAAUACAGCAACUGAUAAUGCCCAUAUAUAAAUAGCUGUUAUAAGAGCAAAGAAAAGAGCCAUGAAGCCUCCGACAGCUGCCAAAGAAAUGAGAAGAGAAACAACAACGGCAUUGGCAGUGGCUGCCAGAAAGAAAAGCAUAAAGACAAGCAAUCCUGUCAAGGUAAGAAGAGCAAUAGUCCCAACAGAGAUUACGAGAAGUGCCCGCAGAGGACUGCCACGGCGAGCCCAGAGGAGAACUUUCCGGCCAGUAUUACUAGUAGCAUCCUUAAGAAGACAAGCAUUCUCCGAUAAAGAGUUCUUGAUCCGCUUCAGCAGCGGUGCUGAACUGUCGGAAUCAGGAAAAAAGAUCAUUGAUAGCAUACGAUGGAUCACGUCGUAAAGAGUCUCGGUCCGGCGAGAACCUUUGAUCCCUUCAUUUUCGAGCGGUACUUCCAUGGCUGCAAUAAUUUUACGGCGAAGAGAGGAACUGAUGUUAGAGUGAGUGCAUUGGCGGUUGUUAAGAAUUGACAGAUUUGUG
RNAcentral lists this unclassified non-coding RNA (1196 nucleotides) under Hevea brasiliensis (rubber tree). Lineage: Eukaryota; Viridiplantae; Streptophyta; Magnoliopsida; Malpighiales; Euphorbiaceae. The record is from RNAcentral.